This 459-nucleotide ribosomal RNA is filed under the name uncultured bacterium. RNAcentral describes it as "partial 16S ribosomal RNA". It matches the Rfam family "Bacterial small subunit ribosomal RNA", at positions 338 to 795 of the family's 1533-position model. The record is from RNAcentral.
CCUACGGGUGGCAGCAGUGAGGAAUAUUGGUCAAUGGCCGGAAGGCUGAACCAGCCAAGCCGCGUGAAGGACGAAGGUGCCAAGCAUUGUAAACUUCUUUUGUCAAGGAGCAACAUCAGGCUCGAGAGCCUGACCGAGGGUACUUGAAGGAAAAGCAUCGGCUGACUUCGUGCCAGCAGCCGCGGUAAUACGGAGGAUGCGAGCGUUAACCGGAUUUAUUGGGUUUAAAGGGUGCGUAGGCGGACUGUUAAGUUAGCGGUAAAAGCCCGGGGCUCAACCCCGGCGAGCCGUUGAAACUGGGGAUCUUGAGAGGGCGAGAGGUAUGCGGAAUGCGUGGUGUAGCGGUGAAAUGCGUAGAUAUUGCGCAGAACUCCGAUUGCGAAGGCAGCAUACCGGCGCCGAUCUGACGCUGAGGCACGAAAGCGUGGGUAUCGAACAGGAUUAGAUACCCGUGUAGUC